RNAcentral lists this long non-coding RNA (907 nucleotides) under Sorghum bicolor (sorghum). Its description in RNAcentral is "long non-coding RNA (SBIC_LNC010295)". Lineage: Eukaryota; Viridiplantae; Streptophyta; Magnoliopsida; Poales; Poaceae. The record is from RNAcentral.
GACGUGUGCGGAAAGCUCAUAAAGGGCUCAGCGCAAGGCACAAACCCAAAACGCAAGGAAUCGAGACCGAAAUACUCUCCCCAGAGUCCGGCUCGUAUGCGAGUUAGGGAGGAAAAAGGAAAGAAGGGAGAUGACACUAACGGGUGGGGCCAACCUGUCGGUGACUGGUGGCGUUGACCCGCUCGUCAGCCAGGGGAGAGAGGGAUGUGCGCUCUGGGCUGGGGAAAAGUGGGCCGUGCCGCGCUGGGUUGGGAGGUGGGCCAUCCAGGGAGAAAGAUAAGGCCGGGUGGAGAAAGAAAAAAGGGCUUGGCCUAGAAGAAAUAGGAGAGAGCUGGGCCUGCGGAUGGAGAGAAUGGGGAGCCGGUUCGGCCAGAAUUAGAGAGAGGGGAAAGUUGUUUUCCUUUUUCUUUUGUUUGUUUUUUUAUUUCCAAACCUUUUUCAAAUCCAUUUUAAAAUUUGUUUGAAAUAUUUUCAAACUUUGGUCAAAAUCAUUCAUCUCAAAAUAAAAUGCACCAGCAUGAUUUACACACAAUUGUUGCUAAGCCUUAUGAUAAAUUUUAUUUUAAAGCAAAAUAUUAUUCUUCCUAUAUUCUCAUGAGCACAAAAAUUCAAAAUUAAACCAUUUUUCACCUAUUUUAAAAUGAGCAAAUUUUUGGGUGUUACAAAUCUACCUCCCUUAAAAUGAAUCUCGUCCUCGAGAUUCGGAAGAGGCACGGAUUCCAAAAGAGAAACAAGAAAAGAUCUUGACAACUCUUUCAACUUGCAUACCCAAUAUAAACACUUAUGUCUGAAGAUCACUACUUGCGAACAAAACAUCCAUAAAAUGUCUUUUAUUCAUUACUGAUCAAGGUCCAUUUUGACUACCAACUUUUUGGCUUAUACAACUCAAAGACAUGAUAACCUAGCA